This 407-nucleotide ribosomal RNA is filed under the name uncultured bacterium. RNAcentral describes it as "partial 16S ribosomal RNA". It matches the Rfam family "Bacterial small subunit ribosomal RNA", at positions 28 to 526 of the family's 1533-position model. The record is from RNAcentral.
GUCGAACGCUGGCGGCGUGCCUAAUACAUGCAAGUAGAACGCAGUUGCGAUCGGGUGAGUUACGCGUAGGUAACUGCCUGGUAGCGGGGGAUAACUAUUGGCAACGAUAGCGCAUACCGCAUACUAACAGAUGGACCUGCGUUGUAUUAGGUCGUUGGUGAGGUAACGGGUCACCAAGGCAACGAUACGUAGCAGAGCUUGGGAGGAGAUCGACCACACUGGGACAGGGACACGGUCCAGACUACCGAGGGUGGCAACAGUAGGGAAUCUUCGGCAAAGGGGGGAACCCUGGCCGAGCAAAGCCGCGGGAGGGAAGAAGGUUUUCGGAUCGUAAAGCUCUGUUGUUAAGGAAGCGGUACUUAACCAGAAAGCGACGGCUAACUACGUGCCAGCAGCCGCGGUAAUUC